This 2831-nucleotide small RNA is filed under the name Pongo abelii (Sumatran orangutan). RNAcentral describes it as "retained intron". Lineage: Eukaryota; Metazoa; Chordata; Mammalia; Primates; Hominidae. The record is from RNAcentral.
GGAAAGCAUCAGAGCUGGAAAGAUUGGCACUCUGGCCUGGACUAGCAGCCUCUCCCAGCACAGUCCACAGCAAGCCAGUCUCAGAUGUGGCUCGACCGGCCUGGCUUGGGCCAAAAGCCUGGCGUGAAUGUGAGAUGUUAGAGCUGCUGCCCCCAUUUGUUGGCCUGUGCGCCUCCCUGGCAGGCCACCCCAGUGCUUGGCAGGCUUACCUGUCACUAUCAUCCACAGUGCUGGGUCCUGCACCUGGGCCUGGGCCUGAGCCACUCAGCCUCCUCCAGAAGCUGAUCCUGUGGCGCGUUCUGCGACCUGAGUGCCUGGCAGGUGCCCUGGCAGACUUCACCACUAGCCUCCUGGGUCGGCCCCUGGAUGAAAACAUGUGCGCUCCCACCAUGCCCUUUAAACACAGUCAGGCUACUCAGCCCAUGCUGAUCUUGUUGCCACCGCCUGGCCACCCCUCAGCCACUCUGCAUCCUCUGACUGUCAUCCAGAAACUGGCUGCCAAGUAUCAGCAGGGGCAGAAGCAACUGCAGGUGAUAGCCCUGGGCUCUGAAGCCUGGGACCCAGUCUCAGUUGUGGUCAGCACUCUAUCCCAGGCUAUGUAUGAGGGGCACUGGCUGGUGCUGGACAACUGUCAUCUGAUGCCCCAUUGGCCAAAAGAGCUGCUACAGCUCUUGCUGGAACUGUUAGGCAGAGCCAAGGUGUUUGCAGACCUGGAAUCAGAACAGCUUUUAGACCAACCUGAAAGCAGGAAUGUAAGCACUGUUCACAGAGAUUUUCGUCUUUGGCUUAUUGUGCCUGCAGAGUCUAGUGCUUCUUUGCCAGCUGUGCUGACUCAGCACUCCAUGCCUAUUUUCUGGAACCAGUCCCUGGAGCUGGGCCAUGUUUUGAUUGACGGUGUGGAGCUAGCCCAGCAAGUACUCUACAUGCAACCCCCCACCCAGGCACUACCUCUGCUCCUCCUCCAUGGCCUCCUGCUACACCGGCAGCUCUAUGGAACAAGGCUGCAGGCACACAGGGGGCGCUGGAGUCAAGUGACUCUAACCCAGGUUCUUCAGACCCAAGAUCAGCUGUGGGCAAGUCUUAGCAAUCCCUGUGCUGCCAUGCAAGAGCUGGCUGGUGAGACCCUUCCUCUCCCCCUUGGAGUCAUCAGCCCCCAGGAGAGCCUGGAAGAGGGUGGGGGUGGGAUAUAAUUCACAGCUUUGGUUUUGGGGGUGGUGGAAACUGAAAGUACUGGAACUGAGAGACUCUAACCUCAUCUUCAGCUUCAGUUUUCUACGGGGGUCCUCUGGGGGACACUGAGGACAGGGAGGCCCUGAUUAGCCUCACACAAGCCUGCCUGAGCCCCAGUAGCGGCAGCUGGGUCCAGCCACACACACCCCAGUCUUUGCUGGCCACACUCAUGCCCCUCCCAGGUAAGCCUCACUCAGGUAUCUGUUUUGGGGUAGGGAAUAGUGCAAUGCAAUGCCACCCCCCACAGAAAUGUGGACAGCAGUCUCCAUAAAGGUAUAUGAGGGGGUAAUAUUCAUACUGUUUUGGGGGUGAUGGCAGUAAAGGAUCAGAGGAAGGCCUACUCUCUCGAGUCUAGGGUGGGGAGAGUCCAUCUUCUCCCUCACCCCUCACCUCUAUCCCCAAGAGCUAAGGGAGCUGGAUGCAAUGGCAGAGUGCAAGGCCCAGAUGCACCUACUGCCCUCACCACCUGAACCCCGGCUCUGCGGACUGAGUGAGGGCCCCCAAGCCUGGCUGUUGCGACGCCAGAGUCGCGCUCUCUUGAGUGCGCUGCAGCGGAGUUCACCCGUGUGGGUUCCUGAGUCUCGAAGAGGCGCCCAGCUCGCGGAAAGGCGACUGCGGCAACGCCUAGUGCAAGUCAACCGGAGGCUGGCGUCACUGCAGGAUCUGCUGACCCACGUGGUUCGCCAAGACGAGUCUGGCGCCCCGUGGUCAGUGCUGGGGCCGAAUGAGCGGCGGCCUCUGGAGGGCGUCUUAGAGACCGAGGCUUUAGAACUGAGCCAGUUGGUGGGCACGCUACAACGCGACCUUGAUUGCCUGUUGCAGCAGCUGAAGGGCGCACCCCCGUGCCCCUCCCGCCGCUGUGCUGCGGUGGCCCACGCUCUCUGGACUGGCCGCCUACCCUUGCCUUGGCGACCUCAUGCGCCGGCCGGUCCGCAGCCGCCCUGGCACUGGCUGCGACAGUUGUCGCGCCGUGGGCAACUGUUGGUUCGUUACUUGGGCGUGGGUGCGGACGCGAGCAGUGAUGUACCAGAGCGCGUCUUCCACCUGUCAGCCUUUCGCCACCCGCGCCGCCUGCUGCUGGCCUUGCGUGAGGAAGCUGCCCUGGACCAGAAUAUGCCUAGCUCGAAUUUCCCUGGUAGCCGAGGCUCGGUCUCCAGUCAGCUCCAGUAUAAACGUCUGGAGAUGAACAGCAACCCUCUGCACCUCAGGGUGGAGAAUGGUCCAAACCCCAUGGUUCCAGAGAGAGGGCUGCUGCUGAUCGGGCUACAGGUCCUACAUGCGGAGUGGGACCCAAUAGCUGGAGCCUUGCAGGACGGUCCUUCCAGCCAACCCAGCCCUCUGCCUCCCAUCAGCAUCAGCACACAGGCCCCGGGCACCAGUGACCUGCCACCCCCAGCCGACCUGACUGUGUACUCCUGUCCUGUGUACAUGGGAGGGCCCCUUGGCACCGCUAAGCUGCAGAGCAGGAACAUCGUGAUGCAUCUGCCCUUACCCACCAAGCUCACCCCCAACACCUGUGUCCAAAGGAGGGUCCACGUGUGCAGCCCACCCCUGUCUUGAGCACAUCUACCAAAAUAAAGCUGUAGUGAUUCCAUGAAAGA